CAGUCGCCACGGGAAUACAGAGGGUGCGAGCGUUAAUCGGAUUUACUGGGCGUAAAGCGUGCGUAGGCGGCUUCUUAAGUCGGAUGUGAAAUCCCUGAGCUUAACUUAGGAAUUGCAUUCGAUACUGGGAAGCUAGAGUAUGGGAGAGGAUGGUAGAAUUCCAGGUGUAGCGGUGAAAUGCGUAGAGAUCUGGAGGAAUACCGAUGGCGAAGGCAGCCAUCUGGCCUAAUACUGACGCUGAGGUACGAAAGCAUGGGGAGCAAACAGGAUUAGAUACCCGUGUAGUCCCUGUCUCUUAUAA
RNAcentral lists this ribosomal RNA (301 nucleotides) under uncultured bacterium. RNAcentral's name for it is "partial 16S ribosomal RNA". It matches the Rfam family "Bacterial small subunit ribosomal RNA", at positions 509 to 809 of the family's 1533-position model. The record is from RNAcentral.